This 274-nucleotide ribosomal RNA is filed under the name uncultured bacterium. Its description in RNAcentral is "partial 16S ribosomal RNA". It matches the Rfam family "Bacterial small subunit ribosomal RNA", at positions 523 to 796 of the family's 1533-position model. The record is from RNAcentral.
AUACGGAGGGUGCAAGCGUUAAUCGGAAUUACUGGGCGUAAAGCGUACGUAGGCGGUUAUUUAAGUCAGAUGUGAAAGCCCCGGGCUUAACUUGGGAACUGCAUUUGAAACUGGGUAACUAGAGUUUAGUAGAGGGGAGUGGAAUUUCAGGUGUAGCGGUGAAAUGCGUAGAGAUCUGAAGGAACACCAGUGGCGAAGGCGACUCCCUGGACUAAAACUGACGCUGUGGUACGAAAGCGUGGGUAGCAAACAGGAUUAGAAACCCUAGUAGUCC